Molecule: ribosomal RNA, 1446 nt
Filed under: Streptococcus thermophilus
Lineage: Bacteria; Bacillati; Bacillota; Bacilli; Lactobacillales; Streptococcaceae
Description: bacterial SSU rRNA
Rfam family: Bacterial small subunit ribosomal RNA
Source: RNAcentral
GUGCCUAAUACAUGCAAGUAGAACGCUGAAGAGAGGAGCUUGCUCUUCUUGGAUGAGUUGCGAACGGGUGAGUAACGCGUAGGUAACCUGCCUUGUAGCGGGGGAUAACUAUUGGAAACGAUAGCUAAUACCGCAUAACAAUGGAUGACACAUGUCAUUUAUUUGAAAGGGGCAAUUGCUCCACUACAAGAUGGACCUGCGUUGUAUUAGCUAGUAGGUGAGGUAAUGGCUCACCUAGGCGACGAUACAUAGCCGACCUGAGAGGGUGAUCGGCCACACUGGGACUGAGACACGGCCCAGACUCCUACGGGAGGCAGCAGUAGGGAAUCUUCGGCAAUGGGGGCAACCCUGACCGAGCAACGCCGCGUGAGUGAAGAAGGUUUUCGGAUCGUAAAGCUCUGUUGUAAGUCAAGAACGGGUGUGAGAGUGGAAAGUUCACACUGUGACGGUAGCUUACCAGAAAGGGACGGCUAACUACGUGCCAGCAGCCGCGGUAAUACGUAGGUCCCGAGCGUUGUCCGGAUUUAUUGGGCGUAAAGCGAGCGCAGGCGGUUUGAUAAGUCUGAAGUUAAAGGCUGUGGCUCAACCAUAGUUCGCUUUGGAAACUGUCAAACUUGAGUGCAGAAGGGGAGAGUGGAAUUCCAUGUGUAGCGGUGAAAUGCGUAGAUAUAUGGAGGAACACCGGUGGCGAAAGCGGCUCUCUGGUCUGUAACUGACGCUGAGGCUCGAAAGCGUGGGGAGCGAACAGGAUUAGAUACCCUGGUAGUCCACGCCGUAAACGAUGAGUGCUAGGUGUUGGAUCCUUUCCGGGAUUCAGUGCCGCAGCUAACGCAUUAAGCACUCCGCCUGGGGAGUACGACCGCAAGGUUGAAACUCAAAGGAAUUGACGGGGGCCCGCACAAGCGGUGGAGCAUGUGGUUUAAUUCGAAGCAACGCGAAGAACCUUACCAGGUCUUGACAUCCCGAUGCUAUUUCUAGAGAUAGAAAGUUACUUCGGUACAUCGGUGACAGGUGGUGCAUGGUUGUCGUCAGCUCGUGUCGUGAGAUGUUGGGUUAAGUCCCGCAACGAGCGCAACCCCUAUUGUUAGUUGCCAUCAUUCAGUUGGGCACUCUAGCGAGACUGCCGGUAAUAAACCGGAGGAAGGUGGGGAUGACGUCAAAUCAUCAUGCCCCUUAUGACCUGGGCUACACACGUGCUACAAUGGUUGGUACAACGAGUUGCGAGUCGGUGACGGCGAGCUAAUCUCUUAAAGCCAAUCUCAGUUCGGAUUGUAGGCUGCAACUCGCCUACAUGAAGUCGGAAUCGCUAGUAAUCGCGGAUCAGCACGCCGCGGUGAAUACGUUCCCGGGCCUUGUACACACCGCCCGUCACACCACGAGAGUUUGUAACACCCGAAGUCGGUGAGGUAACCUUUUGGAGCCAGCCGCCUAAGGUGGGACAGAUGA